AAUCCAGGAUAGCAAGUGUCGGUAGUGAUGGGAAACACCAGUGGUCCAAGACAGGUAGGAGGAGAGCUUCGGGUGUGUCGUGUGAGAUGUUUGUGGGGUAGGUGACUGUAGCAGACUUCGAGGACGAUGUCCAGUUUAAUUGGGGGAGAAUUUUAACACCCGGAAACCAGAAGGCUAACUAAGGAAAUAUAUUAUGCAAAUUGGAGGUCUACUCGUCGAGCCCAAGGGGGGCAACUCGACGAGUAGAAAUAAGUUUUUAGGAUGCGGAUUGAGAAACCUACUCGACGAGUUGGGGAGGACCAAAUCGACGAGUUGGCAUGGGUUUGGGAAACCCUAGAUUUGAGGUUUUGCACCCUAUUUAAGUAUCUUAAUCCCUACCUUAUGGCCUCAUUUCCAGCCUCCAGUGUCCAAACCCUAGAUCUCGAAACCCUAACGCUUGUAAGCCAUUUUUUAGUAAACCUUGUGUGAUUUGAAGCCUAUGAAGAAUAGGAGAAGCUUGGAGAUUCAGAAGGAAAUUAGUAGGUCCAGAAACCACAUGUAAUCCUCUCCAUUUUCUGGCAGGCAAGUCUCAACCAUGCUUAAUAGAUUGAUAGAACUCUUUAAUUUCACUUUAUGAGGGUUUUGGUCCAAGAAGCUUAGCCCUUGGGAAAUGGACGUCCCAAGUGAUAUACCUUUCAGAUCUGGGAUCUACAAGGGGUUUCAUGGCAUAAAGGUGCAAACUUUAUGACCAUGGAAGUGUUGCAUUAGUGUCUAAGUCCAUAACUAUAUUUGGUAUGUACUUGACCCGACCCGACAUGGUCCAUUUGGGUUGCACUUCACCGACACAAUUUAUAUGGAUAGUCUUUUGAGAAUAUUAUAUUUAUGAUUUAUAUUAAUAUAUUAUAAGUUCUAAUAUAUUAAUAUAUAAUCAUAUUAUUUAAUUAGUAUUGAUCAAGACUUAAUUAAGUGAUCAAAAUGAACUAAUUAAAUAUGGACUCUUAUAUAUAUGGAAUGGGCCAAGUUCAUUUAGGUUGGGCUAAGCUUUCAUGGAUAGUCCAUGGAGUGUUUAACCCAUGGAUCAUAUGAAAUGAAAGGUCAUGGGUUUAACCCUAGUCUCCAUACUAUAUAAAGAUGUCAUUGGUUGGUGAAAUUGGCACUAGUGUAGUACACUAAGAAGGGCAAGCCAACUUCACUAGAGAGAUCCAAGUAUCCAUAUUCUCUAAAUUCUUCCAAGGUGUUUUGGUGAUUUGUGAUUCCAUUUGAGGCUUCCACACUAUUGGGGCUAACCUCUUAAAGCUUAAAGACAUCAAGCUACACCAAAAGGUAUGUCAUUUAACUAGUCUUUGUAGUAUAGUUACCUCAUAGUAUGCUAGUUAGGAUUAAAUCCUUGGAAAGUUCUUAUUUGCAUGUACAAUAGAGAAAACAUACAUCCAAGGUUUAUAGGUUGCAUGUACACCAUAGGAGUGUUAGAAUGCUCAAAACCCAACAGGAAGCCCCAUGCAAGCUUUAAGGUGUUGUUAUGGCCUUUUACUCCCCAAAAGGCCAUGCAUGGAAGGAAACUUAGGAGCUUUACGUGUUCAAAUGAUGUUUAAGGCCUGAUCUAUGUUAGUAUGCUUUAGCUUGGAUAUUGAUGGCGUUUUGGACAAAGAUCUAUGUCGUAAAGAACUAGGGUUUUAGCUAAACCCACUAAGAAGGACUAGUAGCAGGUAAAAAUGGGAAGUUUACCCUUGAGAAAUCAUUUUCUGUAUGUAGAAGAAGUAUGGAGUCUUGGUCUAGAGAGUAGAGGCUUAAUCUAUUACGAUGGCCCAAACAGAGUACAAAACUCGUAGAGUCCAUAGAGGAACUCGACGAGAUGAGUCGUGAUGCCUUGAUCUAGUUUAUGGUAGAACUCAACGAGUCUGCGAAGGGACUCGACGAGUUGAUUCGCCAAACCGUGACUAUGAGUAACCAUGGAACUCGGCGAGUCAAGGGGUGACUCGAUGAGUUGGAUCGCGAUUUCAGAGUUCUGAUUUAUAGAACUAGACGAGUUGAUGGAGCAACUCGGCGAGUUGAGUCAACUCGGGGUGUUGACUUUGACUUUGACCAAGCAUUGACUUUGACUUUGACUAGGGCUAAAAUGUUCAUUUGACCGUAAGAAGGAUUAUCAGUUCUUGACAAAGUAUUAUGUUGUUAAAGAUAGCUCAAGAAGUCGAGAGAUCAGCAGUUCGAGGAUCUGCCAGCUAGCAACGAGGGGUUUAUUCGAGGUAUUCUAUAGUCAACUUGUGAGGUGAGUUUUCUCCAGUAGGAAUGGGUCGAAGGCACCAAUGUCGGCCCUUUUAUGUAUAUUAGUGUAUGUCGGAUUAGAUCCGAUGCCGGGGAUAAACCGAUGUAGCUUAUAUGUUUCUGGAUUUCAAUCCGAUGCCGGGCAAGGCCUGAGGAAGGUUUAUAUGUAUGUUUCCAAACUACGGUUCGAUGAUAGGUGGCACCCGACGAAGGAAUGCUUGUUUAGUUAUACUUGUUGUUGUCUGUUUGAUACUUGUAUGUGCCUGGUAGGGAGGCGAGUGUGGACGGGGUCCCGUAUCUCAUCACUAGAUGAGUGUGGACGGGGUUCCAUAUCUCAUUAUUAGCAGAGUAGGGGCGAGGCCCAAGAUCGGCGGGGCCUUAAGACUAGCAGUUAUAGUGUUGUGUCUGUCUGUUAUGUACUAGCAUGAUUAUAUGUUAUUGUUUGUAUGCAUAUAGCGGGUGGGGUCGAGUAGAAAUAGAUUUGUAUACUGAGCGGGGCUCGAUGCCAGGCGGCGCCUGAUUCCAGGCAGGGCCUGAUGCCGGAUUUGUCCAUUAUCGGGCGGGGCCCGAUGGAGCGGGCUAGGCCCAAUGUAUGUAUUUAUAUGAUUAUGUGUAUGGUAUGUGGUAGUUUGGGGAGACUCACUAAGCUUCGUGCUUACAGUUUUCAGUUUUGGUUUCAGGUACUUCUGGUAGCAAAGGGAAAGGCUCCGGAUGAUUGAAGUGCACACACCAUCUUUUCAGCCUGGGAUAUUUAGACUCUGAUAUUUGAGACAUGAUUUUGAUACAGUACUUUGUUAUGAUGAUUUGAGAUACAUAACUUAUGAUCUUUAUUUUGAUGUUUGAUGAAUUAUGAUUUUCUUAAAUGAUUUUAAAACGAAAUUUUUUGACCGUAUUUUUGGGAUGUUACAUUUGCGUACCUUCGGAGUACACCCUACGUACUUGCACUGGGUCAAUCCGGUUGAGUUGACUCGGCUAGGUUGACUCAGUUGACUUAGUGGGUUUGAUCGGUUAACUUUCACUGUGACCAAGUUUGGCUUUAAGUGUAUUUUGGGAUUUUGAUUGAGAUUUGGGGCAUUUCAUUGGAAUAGGAGUCGGUUGCAGCUGAGAUUCGGAGUUAAUACCUCAUCAGCUUUUGUCCAGUUUGCGAGGUGAGUUUUCCUCAAUGUACUUGCGGGUUGAAGGCACUAAGGCCGGAGUCGAGGUUAUUAUAUUGUAGUGAUCUUUUAGAUCGGAAUCCUAAUAUAUAGGAUGAUGCUAUGCUUAUAUCUAUCUUUUGUCUAUUGACUGGUUAUAUGUAUAAAUGUUUAUCUGUUAUAUUUAUGUCGACAUGUUGUGUGGUUGGGUUAAGGCGGAACAAUAUAGACUGAAGGCCAAGUGACCCAGGGCGGCGUGGAUAGACUGAAGACCUGUGAGGUGGACUAGUUAGGCCGAAGGCCCGGAGAAUGGUCCGGACAUGUUGAAGGCCCGGUGAGGCGGACCAGUCAUGUUGAAGGUUCUGCGAGUGGUCCAGAUAGUCUGUAGUCCCAGCGAGGCGGUCAAAUCAUUAUGAAGGCUCAGUUUGCAUGUUGUUUGUUAUUAUGUUGUGUGGUGGUACUUUGGGGGAUCUCAUUAAGCGUUGGCUUAUAGUUUUGGGUUAUGUUUCCGGUACUCCGGAUGAUCGCAGGAAGGCGAAUGCAUGACCGUACACAGAAGGAAGUGUGGAUUUAGGAUGAGUUCACGUUGUCUUCAGGAAGGGAGGCAACCCAAGGGCCGAUUUGGACUGAGGGGUAUGUGAGUUAGGAGUCUGGGAAACAUCCCAACGUAGGAUUCACGUCUUUUGGUGUUCGAUAGUUGGUUUUGGGACUCUGGUUGGGGAGAUUUCCGUGAGAAUGUGAAUUCAACCAGGAUGUUAGGCCGUGCGCAUGAUCGACGUGAAAAAUGUUGUAAGACUACGGGAUAGUCGUCGCAUUCACUAGUAGCCAGAAAACAUGGAAAGUGUUGUAAGACUGCAGGAUAGCUGUAGCAUUCACUAGCAGUCAGAAAGUGUGGGAAAACGUUGUAAGACUGUGGGUUAGUUGCAACAUUCAUUAGCAACUAGUUAGAAAAGUGUGGGCGGGGGCCCGUAUCUCCUAGUUAGCGAAGUGUGGGUGGGGGAUCGUAUAUCCUAAGUUAGCACGAGUGUGGGCGAGGCCCGUAUCUCCUAGUUAGCGUGAUCAAAAUCAUGAAAGGAUAGGUAGAUAGGAAUCGAGGUGAAGUUGUAUCUGUGUAGCCUUAAAUAGGUGAGACCUAGGAGCAAGGUCACUCCGUAGUACGAUUUGGGUGAGACCCGUGGACGAGGCCCGUGCAAUCAUGGCAAGGUAGGUUGGACCUAGUAGACACCACGGGGUCGAGAUACAUGAUCAGGGAUUCUAGGAUCUAUAGAGCCAUGAGUGGCAAGACAGAUAGAGCAGUUCUAAUAGACUAAUUUUUCUUUGGAAGUCGUUGGGAGCAAAUGAGAUAGUGAUAAUUGGUUCAGUAACCGGGUGGAAUCAGGUAUUCCAGAUAGUGGACAUAUAAGUUUGGAUCUGGGUGGUCCUGGUUCCUUCGGAAGUUAGAGAAGAGGUUGCGUGGUUUUCGGGCAAAAGUAGUGAUUAUGAGGUUUUUAUGCGUAGGGUAGCUUGCGGAUCGAAAGAGCAAAGACACUUACAGUUGGAUUGGAUAAUCUCAAAGUAGUUGAUAUGACUCUGUUGCGCAGCUCUCGUCUGAGUCUAACCGUUUCAAGGAUGAAUCUUCUACUCGAAGGAUUAUCUAAACCUUCAGUGAAGUAUAAGUAUUCUACAGUUGGCUAUGGAUAGGGAUUUUGUUUUUGAUGGUAGCAUCAAGAUAAUUAGGGUGGGAAGUUUUAUCGUUGAACAGUUAUUCAAUGAAGUUUGGCAUGGAAGUUUUCGAGUAUCGAAGGUCCGUCUGGGAGAUAGAUCAUUAUAGAUUACAUGUCUCAGAAUGACAGAAGUAGUUCUAUGUAUGACAGUAAGAAUGAUCUUUCAUCAGGUUUGGAAGGUUUCGAUGGUUGGGUUCAGUUGCCUUGGGAAGGCCAUUGAUUGCGCAGGAUGAUAGUAGUAAAUCCAGGAUAGCAAGUGUCGCUACUGAUGGGAAACACCAGUGGUCCAGGACAGGUAGGAGGAGAGCUUCGGGUGUGUCGUGUGAGAUGUUUGUGGGGUAGGUGACUGUAGCAGACUUCAAGGAUGAUGUCCAGUUUAAUUGGGGGAGAAUUGUAACACCCGGAAACCAGAAUGAUAAUUAAGGAAAUAUAUUAUGCAAAUUGGAGGUCUACUCGUCGAGCCCAAGGGGGGCAACUCGACGAGUAGAAAUAAGUUUUUAGGAUGCGGGUUGAGAAACCUACUCGACGAGUUGGGGAGGACCAAAUCGACGAGUUGGCAUGGGUUUGGGAAACCCUAGAUUUGAGGUUUUGCACCCCAUUUAAGUAUCUUAAUCCCUACCUUAUGGCCUCAUUUCUAGCCUCCAGUGUCCAAACCCUAGAUCUCGAAACCCUAAUGCUUGUAAGCCAUUUUUUAGAAAACCUUGUGUGAGUUGAAGCUUCUGAAGAAUAAGAGAAGCUUGGAGAUUCAGAAGGCAGUUAGUAGGUCCAGAAACCACAUCUAAUCCUCUCCAUUUUCUGGUAGGCAAGUCUCAACCAUGCUAAAUAGAUUGAUAGAUCUCUUUAAUUUCACUUUAUGAGGGUUUUGGUCCAAGAAGCUUAGCCCUUGGGAAAUGGACGUCCCAAGUGAUUUACCUUUCAGAUCUGGGAUCUACAAGGGGUUUCAUGGCAUAAAGGUGCAAACUUUAUGACCAUGGAAGCCCCAUGCAAGCUUUAAGGUGUUGUUAUGGCCUUUUACUCCCCAAAAGGCCAUGCAUGGAAGGAAACUUAGGAGCUUUACGUGUUCAAAUGAUGUUUAAGGCCUGAUCUAUGUUAGUAUGCUUUAGCUUGGAUAUUGAUGGCGUUUUGGACAAAGAUCUAUGUCGUAAAGAACUAGGGUUUUAGC
RNAcentral lists this long non-coding RNA (6239 nucleotides) under Lactuca sativa (garden lettuce). Its description in RNAcentral is "long non-coding RNA (LSAT_LNC005330)". Lineage: Eukaryota; Viridiplantae; Streptophyta; Magnoliopsida; Asterales; Asteraceae. The record is from RNAcentral.